UACGGAGGGGGCUAGCGUUGUUCGGAAUUACUGGGCGUAAAGCGCACGUAGGCGGCUUUGUAAGUUAGAGGUGAAAGCCUGGGGCUCAACCCCAGAAUUGCCUUUAAGACUGCAUCGCUUGAAUCCAGGAGAGGUGAGUGGAAUUCCGAGUGUAGAGGUGAAAUUCGUAGAUAUUCGGGAAGAACACCAGUGGCGAAGGCAGGUCUCUGGGC
Molecule: ribosomal RNA, 212 nt
Filed under: uncultured bacterium
Lineage: Bacteria
Description: partial 16S ribosomal RNA
Rfam family: Bacterial small subunit ribosomal RNA
Source: RNAcentral